UUUCGUGGUUUUUUUGCAGUUUGGCCCCUACAAAAGUUACUUAUUAGCCUGCAGUUUUUGCUUGCUUAUCCGAUCUCCUUCCGAGAUCGAACCUCCGUGAUUGUCCGGCCGGCACCGAUCGAGAAGGAGACGGAGGGGCUGCCUUCCCCGCUCGAUUCGUGGCGUGGGGGUCGCCGUGCGCGCCGACCGGGUUGUAACGCCGCCCGUCCAUCCUCCGCGGGAGACGUCUCCCUAUUCUGGUGUGGUGCUCCAAUCUCUGUGAUGGACUACGUACGCUCCAGGAAGAGAAAGGGCUCGAGCUCGGAGCUGGACGUCGCGAGGAGCAUCGAGCUGCUCAUCCUCGAGGCCUCCUUGCUGGGGGUCUACACCGGCCAGCUGGUGAUCAUCCUCUGGGCCUCCUUCCGCGCCCCCUUCCAGAAGUUGAAGUUGAUAUUCUAGGACGCACCGGCGAACGAUGUAGAUUGCGCCACUGAAGAACAAUCUUGGAGUACAUACGUUUCUGCUGUUAAUAAUCUGUGUAGGAUGCUUGUUUACCAUCCAAAACAGCCGCAAAGGAGUUCUGCUAUGCUGCUAGGGACGCCUUGCUCAUGUAUAAGGCUAUUGUGCGAGUUCAGUUGGACUGAAAUUCAGGGCAGGAAUAACCAUGCCUUGUGGAUCUGCUGCUGCUAGCCCUGCAGUUUUUGCUUGCUUAUCCGAUCUCCUUCCGAGAUCGAACCUCCGUGAUUGUCCGGCCGGCACCGAUCGAGAAGGAGACGGAGGGGCUGCCUUCCCGCUCGAUUCGUGGCGUGGGGGGUCGCCGUGCGCGCCGACCGGGUUGUAACGCCGCCCGUCCAUCCUCCGCGGGAGACGUCUCCCUAUUCUGGUGUGGUGCUCCAGUCUCUGUGAUGGACUACGUACGCUCCAGGAAGAGAAAGGGCUCGAGCUCGGAGCUGGAUGUCGUGAGGAGCAUCGAGCUGCUCAUCCUCGAGGCCUCCUUGCUGGGGGUCUACACCGGCCAGCUGGUGAUCAUCCUCUGGGCCUCCUUCCGCGCCCCCUUCCAGAAGUUGAAGUUGAUAUUCUAGGACGCACCGGCGAACGAUGUAGAUUGCGCCACUGAAGAACAAUCUUGGAGUACAUACGUUUCUGCUGUUAAUAAUCUGUGUAGGAUGCUUGUUUACCAUCCAAAACAGCCGCAAAGGAGUUCUGCUAUGCUGCUAGGGACGCCUUGCUCAUGUAUAAGGCUAUUGUGCGAGUUCAGUUGGACUGAAAUUCAGGGCAGGAAUAACCAUGCCUUGUGGAUCUGCUGCUGCUAGGAACCUGGAGGUGCCCCUGGGACGGCGAGGCAAUGGAUAAGCAGGAUCAAGGGGGAGGUGACGGCGUGACGCGCCGGCCUUCUCCCCUGGCUGGCACUGUGCUCCUGGUGGGUGGGGGGCGGCGUUCUGCUGCUGCUGAUGGCCUGCUGGUUGGGGCGGCAAUGAAGAAGCGGGCGAGGUGGCGCUGGCGAUCAAGGGAUGCGAGGAAGAAGCGGGGAGGUGCCGAACUGCCGGGCGAGCUCCUGGAGGUGCCUGAGCAAGGGGCCAGCAGCCGGCGGGGGAGACGCGGGGGGAAGUCGCGGUCAGAGGAAGAAAAAUGAAGUGGCCCGGGUCGAUGGAUUUUGCUUCUAUACUGAAUUUAACUGAUGCUGUUAACUGAAGUUUGGUCUUGGUUUGCGUUGUAUAUAUAUUGCUGAUUCGUUUCUGGUGAUUGCUUCGGUUGUGAUAAAAUGACAGAAAGAAGAGAUGCUGCUGAUUGCUUUGGUGGGAAAGUGAAUUUUUAUAGGAUCAACAAUCAA
Molecule: long non-coding RNA, 1810 nt
Organism: Lolium perenne
Lineage: Eukaryota; Viridiplantae; Streptophyta; Magnoliopsida; Poales; Poaceae
Source: RefSeq, a predicted model, not a curated record